Molecule: ribosomal RNA, 253 nt
Filed under: uncultured bacterium
Lineage: Bacteria
Description: partial 16S ribosomal RNA
Rfam family: Bacterial small subunit ribosomal RNA
Source: RNAcentral
UACGGAGGGUGCAAGCGUUAUCCGGAUUCACUGGGUUUAAAGGGUGCGUAGGAGGGCAGGUAAGUCAGUGGUGAAAUCUCCAAGCUUAACUUGGAAACUGCCGUUGAUACUAUCUGUCUUGAAUGUUGUGGAGGUGAGCGGAACAUGUCAUGUAGCGGUGAAAUGCUUAGAUAUGACAUAGAACACCAAUUGCGAAGGCAGCUCACUACACAAUUAUUGACUCUGAGGCACGAAAGCGUGGGGAUCAAACAGG